UUUCGGUGUAUGGAUGUGCCUAGGGCAGUUGCUCAUUUCGGAUUAGAUGCUUGUGUUUCACCAUGUGUAUUACGUGUUUGAUGAAAUGCCUCUUAGAACAAUGAGAAUUGCCUGUGCUUGAUUUAUUCUCUGAUGGAGUAUGUGUCAGUAGGCCGAUACAGAGAAUGUGUUAAGCUAGAAAUUUUUGCAUGUUAAAAUACUUGCACUGAUGGAGUAUGUGUCAGUAGGCCGAUACAGAGAAUGUGUUAAGCUAGAUAAUUUGUGUUAUACAGUGAAUCUACAGGAGGUCCACAGGGGCUCUUAUAAUCAAGGAUUCUAUUUUUAACUAUAUGAUUGCUUAUAUUCACAAGUAUAUUUGUGUUAUGUUUUAGACAAGGCUGAUGCCAUGUUUGGCUGUGGGUUUGGUCCUGAUUUUCAUAGGUUUCUUGACUCUAAUUUUUAAAUUUUGGUGGUACUAAAUUGUAUGGAAGUCCAUUCAUUUAUAUUGUCCUAACUGAUAUGCCAGAGAAAUUGUAAUGGGGGUCUAAUCCGGAUUCAUUACCUUUUAAAACUGAUUUUUUUAAUCCAACAUUUCUGUUAUGCUAGCUCAGAUGGUUUAUUAUAAUGGUUUCUGUGAAUUGCCUAGCUGAUUUCUGUUAUGCAAAAUUUGAGCUUUAUUAUAAUGGUUUGCUGGAGCUUCAUCUUGUUAACAUAAGGGAAACAUAAGAAUAAUUAGGCCUAAAUCUUUCUUAGCAGUUGCUGUGUCGACUCAACUUCGGAUGUAAUCUGAACCUUAUUUUACGGAUUUUACUCUAUUAGAUGAUCUAAUUUGGCGGGUUUGUGCUUAUGGCAGAGAAACCUGAGCCUGUUGAGGAUAAGGAUGCUGAAGGUGGUUCUGUUAACAGAGGUAAGACACCGGAACUGAUUAAGAAAAUUGUGAUUAAUUGCACAGGAGAUAGCUUUGUUGGGUGGCUUUUUAGGAUGUAAUCUGAACCUUAUUUUACGGAUUUUACUCUAUUAGAUGAUCUAAUUUGGCGGGUUUGUGCUUAUGGCAGAGAAACCUGAGCCUGUUGAGGAAAAGGAUGCUGAAGGUGGUUCUGUUAACAGAGGUAAGACACCGGAACUGAUUAAGAAAAUUGUGAUUAAUUGCACAGGAGAUAGCUUUGUUGGGUGGCUUUUUAUCUUGGUUAAUUCAUAUAAAUCUGCGUUGCUGAGUUCAUAUGAUUUAUCAUUAUGUGUCCUGAGUUCAUAUGAUUUUAUGUUGUUGAGGUGCUGCAGAUUUUAUAAAAUUAUAGUUUUAUCUGAUAUUCUGUUCUUUGCCAAGUAGAAUCUUCAUCUGUUGCUAGUUUAGUCAUCAGGAGCACACACUUUUUGACGAACUUCUCAUCCUGGUUUUCUACAAUCUCUCUUGUGUUAUUUAGAUCAUGUUGUGACACUCUAAAUUAUUUACUCUGCUAUUUUGUUCGUUGAUUGCUGUCACAAGGUUCUACAUUAUAGAAAAUUAAUGUUUACUUUUGAAUAUGUCUUAAUUUAUAUAUAUGAUGACCAAACUGUUGGACUGAUAAUCUCACUCUCAACUGGCUAGUUAAAGUUAAACCAAACUCUUGUCAUUAGAGUCCUUGUACUCCUGUAUUCUUUAUAAGUUUCUGGUGUGUACAAAUAUAUAUUUUACAAAGCAUUUGCACUUGGUUUAUUUUUGACCAUUAUUGUCGUAUCAUCUAGUGUUGCACAUACACACUUACCUUUCAUCUUUUACAUGGGGCUGUAUUGUAAUGACUCACUUUUUGUCACUGUAGAUGCCAUUUCAUGCACUAAAACGUGAUACCUGGUCUAUUUGAGCACUCGAAAAAUGCAUCUUAGACUCUGCAGUUUUGUCAAUGUGGACUAACAAAGUUUCCUGUCAAGUUCUUUACUCUGCAGUUCAUUCAAUUUUCUGAAUUUUGGCUAAACUACUAAAUUUGUUCGCAGCC
This 1949-nucleotide long non-coding RNA is filed under the name Daucus carota (carrot). RNAcentral's name for it is "long non-coding RNA (DCAR_LNC001093)". Lineage: Eukaryota; Viridiplantae; Streptophyta; Magnoliopsida; Apiales; Apiaceae. The record is from RNAcentral.